This 495-nucleotide ribosomal RNA is filed under the name uncultured bacterium. RNAcentral describes it as "partial 16S ribosomal RNA". It matches the Rfam family "Bacterial small subunit ribosomal RNA", at positions 29 to 506 of the family's 1533-position model. The record is from RNAcentral.
AUGAACGCUGGCGGCGUGCCUAAUACAUGCAAGUCGAGCGAACAGACGAGGAGCUUGCUCCUCUGACGUUAGCGGCGGACGGGUGAGUAACACGUGGAUAACCUACCUAUAAGACUGGGAUAACUUCGGGAAACCGGAGCUAAUACCGGAUAAUAUAUUGAACCGCAUGGUUCAAUAGUGAAAGACGGUUUUGCUGUCACUUAUAGAUGGAUCCGCGCCGCAUUAGCUAGUUGGUAAGGUAACGGCUUACCAAGGCAACGAUGCGUAGCCGACCUGAGAGGGUGAUCGGCCACACUGGAACUGAGACACGGUCCAGACUCCUACGGGAGGCAGCAGUAGGGAAUCUUCCGCAAUGGGCGAAAGCCUGACGGAGCAACGCCGCGUGAGUGAUGAAGGUCUUCGGAUCGUAAAACUCUGUUAUUAGGGAAGAACAAAUGUGUAAGUAACUAUGCACGUCUUGACGGGACCUAAUCAGAAAGCCACGGCGAACUACGU